Molecule: long non-coding RNA, 1772 nt
Filed under: Equus caballus (horse)
Lineage: Eukaryota; Metazoa; Chordata; Mammalia; Perissodactyla; Equidae
Description: lncRNA (ENSECAG00000045927.1)
Source: RNAcentral
AAAACCAGAAGCCACAGCCUAAAGUUCGCUUAGGUUGUAACCGGUGGUCGGGUCUUCCCGAUUUUUCAAAACCUUUCACCCAGAUUUAUCUAUUGCUAACAGUUUGCCCCACGGCUUUACCUUUAUCGUAAUCUAUCUAUCCAUCCAUUCAUCGCCCGCCUGUCCGUCCUAACCCAAUCACCAGGGACAAACCAAAGUCGGGUUUACUGACCCAUCGCAAUGAAGGAGACCACAUCCCAGAGGAGGAGCUGUGACGCAACGUUGUCAACAUCCACCCAAGUUGUGGCGUGUGUUAGUCCUCAUUCCUUUUCAUGGAUGGAUAUCAUCACGCUGUAUGGAUAUACCACAUUUUGUUUGUCAUCCGCCAGUGGAUGGACUGACGUCUGUUGAUGCUUCCACCUUUUGGCUAUUACGAACAACGCUGCUGUGAACAAGUCUACGAACUUCAUCGUGGACGUUGGCAUUCGUGUCUCUUGGAUAUCUACCUGGGAGUGGAAUUGCUGCAUCACAAGGUGUCCGUAACAGCAGUAGUUGUUACUGCAUCUGCUACAGACCUUCUAUAUUUGGGUUUAAUACUUUAAAAUAUGGAAAUUCAUGAAAGAAACCUCAACUAGAUUGGAGUUGAGUGGACCUGAAUGGGGAGUUCUCACACCCUGCUGCACAUCGUCAAUUACACCAAACAGGAAGCGAGGGACCUUUGCAUCUUGGACAGAAAGUAAAACUACUUUGCUACUGAAGGAAGAUUUCUUUCCCCACCUGGCAACAGCCCAGCCAAUGAGAAACACUGCAGCCCAGCCAAUGAGAAACACUGCAGCCCAGCCAAUGAGAAACACUGCAGCUCAGCCAAUGAGAAACGCCACAGCUCAGCCAAUGAGAAAUGCCACAGCUCAGCCAAUGAGAAAUGCCACAGCUCAGCCAAUGAGAAACACCACAGCUCAGCCAAUGAGAAACGCCGCAGCUCAGCCAAUGAGAAACACCACAGCUCAGCCAAUGAGAAAUGCCGCAGUUCAGCCAAUGAGAAAUGCCGCAGCUCAGCCAAUGAGAAACACCACAGCUCAGCCAAUGAGAAACGCCGCAGCUCAGCCAAUGAGAAAUGCCGCAGCUCAGCCAAUGAGAAACGCCGCAGCUCAUCCAAUGAGAAACACCACAGCUCAGCCAAUGAGAAAUGCCACAGCUCAGCCAAUGAGAAACCCCACAGCUCAGCCAAUGAGACGCUGUUGCCACCCUGAACUGUUACUCUCCCCCAAUGGACUUUCCUUUAGAGCAGCCCCUCCCCCUCCCUCUCCCCCUUUUUCUCUAUAAAGGCAGCUCCCCUCCUUUGUUCUCUGGAUUUGAACUAUGGUUCGUCACAGCACGGACAUCCUGAAUUGCAAUUCUUUUGGCUGUUCCCAAAUAACUUUGUUCUGAGGCUUUUCAAGUCGACAAGAACACAGAAUGUCUAGGAGAAAAGAAUUUCCUGUUUGUCAUUUCAAUUCUUUUAGCUCCCCUUGUUUUAAAAUACUUAAAAUCUAAAGGGGUGCAAGGGCACUUUGGGGUGCUGGAACCGUGCUGUGUCUGGGUUGGGGUGGUGGUCACACAAUGUAUGCACUUGUCAAAACCCUAAAACUGCCCCUGCAAGCGUGAAUAACACUGUAUACAAAUAAUGCCUUAAUUUAAAAAAUACUUAGAGUCAAUUUUUUUCCUUUUUUCUCAUAUUAAGGAUACAGAUUUGACAACCUUAAAUUUAAGAGCUCUGUGUAUAAAAAACAACUCACACUAAAAUUAAAGGUGAA